Triticum dicoccoides is the source of this 3399-nucleotide RNA transcript. RefSeq lists it as uncharacterized. The transcript has 5 exons. The record is from RefSeq and is a predicted model, not a curated record. Lineage: Eukaryota; Viridiplantae; Streptophyta; Magnoliopsida; Poales; Poaceae.
GCCGGCCUCCUCUCCAAAAAAAAUUAGCUUGCUUCUCUCACUCAGAUUUGUUAUGGUUGUUCUAUAUAAUAAAUGGUGAUUAUAUUUUUGUUGGUAAUGUAUUUCUAGUGGCACAAAAUUGGUGGAUAACUGGAUAUGAAUUCUUCUAAAAGAAAAUAGGGAAUUGAUAAGCACAUUUGGAUUUUGCCUUGUACUAGUUUGCUCAUGAGGACUGAUGAUAAUUUAAAUUUGAUGCCAAAGAUGAUGUGUUAUGUAUAUAUCACUUUGCACCUUGGUUGGUAGCUUGCAUCUCAUAUCGAUCAGAAGUUUUUCAGCUAGGUGCAACCUACCAAACAAUAUCUGCUAAAUACAUCAUCUCUCAUACACCCUUAGAUAGAAACAACCAAACAACAUCUCUGCUCAGCCUGCCCCAAAGCAUAUAGGACACCAAACACACAUCUGAGCUUAUCUUUGCAUCAACUCAGCCAGGAUCCCAGAUACGAUACAGGCUGGAGUAAUGUGAACAACCUGACAGUGACACACCCUUAUUUUCUGUUUCGCGGUGCCGGAAUAUAGCAUAAAGCUGUUUAGACAUUUGGAUACUACUGUAGCCACUGAAACUUACAAAAGGUGCAGAAAUUGCUGUCUAUGACCGGUCCUAUUUGUCGCUGAUGCAGUUUUGCUGCUUGAUUUUGGAGUUCGUAUGUCUUUUCUAGUGCCAAAAAAUGCGUUAUCUGCUUGUUUUGUCCAGUGUCGCAAUGUAAACUAUUUCUAAGUUGUCUGGUUGUUGCGUUGAUGCACAUAAUUGUUGAGGAGAUUCAUUUGCGGCGUUUGGCUAAAAUUGUAUGGCGAGUUUUAGCGGUGUCAUACUCGCUUUGUGUUUCAUAUAUGCAUAUUGAUAUGUAUUUUUUCACCAUGCUUUUAGUAAUAAGCUAGCUUGAUUUUCAACUUUGUAGGCAUCAUACAUAUAUUGAUUUGUUUGUGGUCAUUAGUCGAUAGCCAUACAGGGCUCCAUAUUUGUAAGGCCUGCCGCUUAUUUCCUUCUUUACCAAUUCUAAGAAGAUAAACUCAAACAUCUGUUAAACUUCACUUAAACUUCAUGUUAUUUUCCUGCAAAUUACUUCAAUCAUAAUCUCUAUUCAGUUUGCCCUAUUGUUUUUAAAUGUGUCUGCAGAAGAAUUUGGUAUCUAGGUUUCCUCAAGAGACUAGAUUGCUUACUAUGGCUGAGGAAACCAAACCAAAGAAGCAAAAAGAUGAGGAACGCAUUAUAAACCGUCUCCCAGGAGAACUCAUUGAUCGGAUAUUUUUGAAGCUUCCAGUGAGCACUUUGUUGAGGUGCACCGGUGUCUGCAAGGAAUGGCACAAAAUGAUUCGAGAUCCCCAGUUUGUCACCUCUCACCUCCAGGAUGCGCCCCAAUGUGCUUUCCUAUUCUUUCCACAAGAGUCGAUCUCAGGAAAGCUCUAUCCUGCUGAUGCUAUCCUGAUUGAUGAGACCUGGUCACAGUCAACAUGUGCAGUGCCAGUGGUUGGCCCUGGUGAUUCCCUUUGUGGUUCAUGCAACGGUCUUCUUUGCUUAUACACAAAGUCGUCAACACUCAAGAUAGCUAACCUUGCAACGGGUGAAUGUCUGCAUCUUGAUAAACCUGUAAACAAUUUAAGGGGUGAUCACUUCUUCUUGUAUAACUUUGGAUUUCACCCAGUGACAAAAGAAUACAAGAUUAUACACUUCCUUGGUGAUUCUGUUGAGGGCCGCCCUCUCCAUAAUAAUAGCAGGUUCAGAGUCGUUCAAGUUUACACGCUUGGUCAUGAGAAAUGGAGAGAUAUCAAAACUCCAGAAGCCCUAAGUUUAAACUGUGUAAAAAACUCUGGAGCAGUUAAUAUUGGUGGAACAAUGUACUGGCUAACUGAAGACAUGGUAGCUAGCUGGCAGCAUGCAGUUAUUACCUUUGAUCUCAGUGAAGAAAGUUUUGCACGGAUACAACUGCCAGCAACUGUACUCGAAGACUCGGCAGGUGGUGGGCCUCGUCGGUACUGGGUUCAUGGUUUUUGAGUCGCGACUCAUGCGAGUCGCUCUGGGGCAGCGACUCGGAAGAAGUCGAGCCUGCGUUGUGACUAGUCGCGACUGAGAGUCGCGAGUCGACACUAAGUUGAGUCGACCAUAUUUUUGCGACUCAUAGACUAGUCGUCGACUAGUCGCGACUAGUCGAGCGACUCAAAAUCCAUGACUGGGUUAGAGAGAUUGAUGGGAAGAUAUGUAUAGCAACGGCUCAAACCUGUUCCUUUCGGCCCAGAAGGCUUGUUGGUAAGCUGCAAGUUUGGACACUUGAGAACAAAACGGAGCAAAGGUGGAGCCAGAAGUACAAUAUUCAGUACUCACCUGAUUACAUUCCGGGUCCAAAUUUGGUUCAUAGGGGUAAGAUCAUAUUGCAACGUCGUGACCGUAACCUAUAUUCCUAUGAGUUGCUUGGGGACAAUUCCAAUACUAAAUUGUGUAAGAUGACAAAGCUGUUAGAUUUCAAGCCCCACAAGCCUGACAACAUGCAAUCCUACAUCUGUGUGAAGUCACUUAUACGCUUAGAUGUAUACAAGAAGGCUGGCAUUGUUCGUAGGCCAAAACAGCGGGGAGUGUGGGAAUUGAAGAAGUGGGAAGUGUGGGAGCACAAGCUCUCUGAGAAUGAAAGAAUAUGGACCGAUACUCAUCGAGACGAGCAUGUGGGAGCUGCACAUGCACAAUGCUAUCACACGAUGAUCAAUGAUGUGCUGCCGCGUAUAUUGGAUGACACAAUUCAACUGGAAAUAGGCAUGGAAAUCAAUCAAAUAUUUCCGAACAUUCCUGAUCAGACUCCAGCAGCCAAGGCCCCUCCGGCGGCUUAAUUGUGUGUCGCAGAAGCAGGACAUGGAAAAUUUAUUUGUUCGUAUGGAGAAUUGGAAUAAUAUUACGAAGGCUACGAGGGAGGCAAGGCAUAGUAUCUUUAGCAUGAUGGUUAAUGCUGUAUUAAAUCAGAUCGGCGCCUCGAGUUCAGACGCUGGCAUUUCUUCUCAGAAUCGCAGUGAGGGCGAUGAUGUGAAGAUUUGAUACUUGAGAGCUUAUCAUGACAUCCUUCUCAGCUCGCUCAGGCUGUUGUUCAACUCUUGUUUGUUUGUACCCCGAGGGAACGUUUAGCUGUUUCACCUGUAAAACAGUGAUCUAUGCACUGUCAUGUUUCCAUUUGAAUUCUUGAUAUUUAUGGCACUUAAACAUAUUGGUCAAUUUGAGAUGUUGAAGAAUCUGCGGGGCAGCAAGACCAUUUGAUCUGAAGAUCAGACUAACUCCUGCCACCGAGUAUAUAUUGAAGAUUUACAGAGUACUGUACUUGGAAGUGCGAAACUUGUAGUUGCACUAUAAUCUUCUAUCUAUGGAUGAAAGCAAAACCUUUCAUA